AUAAAACACGAGAUAUAAACCGUUGAACAUUAUGUUUAGACCUACUAGUUUACACGUGUACCUUCUUGUCAUACUAGUAAGCUACCACUCAGCUAAUUCUGCUAGGUGCACAGGGCAUGCAACAUGUAAAUAUGUUGACGAAAAAAUGGAAGAAUUGAAAAACAAUCUAGGAUAUGUUGGUUGUUUCAUUGAUGAUAGGAACAGACUUUUCGACACAAGGAAACCUAACAGCGCAAAUAUGAGUCUUAGAAAAUGUCGGGAGCAGUGUCGCAACUACAUAUAUGUAGGACUACAGAAUGGUAAAGAAUGUUUCUGUGGCAACGCACUGAAUGUUAACAAGUAUCCACCAAAACAAGAAUCGCAAUGCCAACAUAAAUGUUCAGGAGAACGUAACAGAAUGUGUGGAGGCCAUUGGAAGAUGUCUA
Mytilus californianus (California mussel) is the source of this 425-nucleotide long non-coding RNA. RefSeq lists it as uncharacterized. NCBI's taxonomy places the organism in Eukaryota, Metazoa, Mollusca, Bivalvia, Mytilida, Mytilidae. The transcript is spliced from 4 exons. The record is from RefSeq and is a predicted model, not a curated record.